GCUUGGAAGCAGCCAUUCAUUUAAAGAGUGCGUAACAGCUCACUAGUCGAGGAGUCUGGCGUGGAUAAUACUCGGGCAUAAACUGUUUACCGAAGCUAUGGAUCUCGUAUGAGAUGGUAGGGGAGCAUUCCAUGUACGUCGAAGGUGAGGGAUGACCCUUGCUGGAGUGUAUGGAAACGCAAAUGUAGGUAUAAGUAACGAUAAAGGAGGUGAGAAACCUCCUCGCCGAAAGACUAAGGUUUCCUGAUCAACGUUAAUCGGAUCAGGGUAAGUCGGGACCUAAGGAUAAGCCGAACGGCGAUUCCGAUGGAAGAAUGGUUUAAUAUUCCCAUACUACUUUAUGGAGCGAUGUGGAGACGGAGAAGUGAAAGUCCUGCCAUCUGACGGAAUAGGUGGUUGAAGAGUGUAGAUGUAGAUUCCUGUAGGCAAAUCCGCAGGGAGAGUCGACCUUGAUAGUAUGCCGCGUGCUUGCACAAGGCAAAAUGGACGUAAUCAGGCUCCCAAGAAAAUCCGCUAAGCAUAUUCAUAAAGUACCCGUACCGUAAACGGACACACGUAGUUGGGUUGAAAAUACUGAGGCGCUCGAGUGAUUCACGGUUAAGGAACUAGGCAAAUUGACCCUGUAACUUCGGGAUAAAGGGUCCCUACUGAGAGGUAGGGCGCAGAGAAUAGGUCCAGGCAACUGUUUAACAAAAACACAUGGCUGUGCGAAAUAGAAAUAUGAAGUAUACAGCCUGACACCUGCCCGGUGCUGGAAGGUUAAGAGGAGAGCUCAUCGCAAGAGAAGGCUUGAAUUGAAGCCCCAGUAAACGGCGGCCGUAACUAUAACGGUCCUAAGGUAGCGAAAUUCCUUGUCGGGUAAGUUCCGACCUGCACGAAUGGUGUAAUGAUCUGGACACUGUCUCAACCGUGAGCUCGGUGAAAUUGUAGUAUCGGUGAAGAUGCCGAUUACCCGCGAUGGGACGAAAAGACCCCGUGAACCUUUACUAUAGCUUUACAUUGAAUUUGGGCAAUCGAUGUGUAGGAUAGGCCGGAGACCGUGAAGCAGGUACGCCAGUAUUUGUGGAGUCGCCGUUGAAAUACGGCCCUUUGGUUGUUUGAGUUCUAACCCGCAGAAGCGGGGACACUGUAUGGUGGGUAGUUUGACUGGGGUGGUCGCCUCCAAAAGAGUAACGGAGGCUUCUAAAGGUACCCUCAGACCGAUUGGUAACCGGUCGCAGAGUGUAAUGGCAUAAGGGUGCUUGACUGGGAGACAGACAAGUCGAUCAGGUAGGAAACUAGAGCAUAGUGAUCCGGUGGUUCCGCAUGGAAGGGCCAUCGCUCAAAGGAUAAAAGGUACUCCGGGGAUAACAGGCUGAUCGCUCCCAAGAGCUCAUAUCGACGGAGCGGUUUGGCACCUCGAUGUCGGCUCGUCACAUCCUGGGGCUGGAGAAGGUCCCA
RNAcentral lists this ribosomal RNA (1440 nucleotides) under human gut metagenome. RNAcentral's name for it is "bacterial LSU rRNA". It matches the Rfam family "Bacterial large subunit ribosomal RNA", at positions 1104 to 2567 of the family's 2925-position model. The record is from RNAcentral.